AAAUUUUGAGAGAAUUAUUAUUUAUUAAAAAGUAAAUUUAAUUAAGUAUUUUUAAAAGAAAUAUAAAUUUUUAUCAUAAAGAAAUUGGAAAAAAAUUUAAGGAUUUUGGUUUUAUUGAUUCCUUUUGUAUCAGGAUAAAAUAAUUAAUUUGAAAUUAUAAUUAACGAAAAAGAAUGAUUUACUAAAAAAUUUAAAAUUAUGUUUUAUAAUUCUAUUAAUAUUUUAGUGGAAAUGAAAAGUUUUCGUGUUCUUUUAUAUCUUUUUAAUUUUUUAUAAUUUUUAAAAUUAUUUUUAAUUUAAUGAAUAACUUAGGGGAUGAGCUUUAAGUUUUUUUGUACUUUUAAUAAAUUUAAUUUUAUUGUCUUUAUAAUGGAUACUAAAAAUUUUUAAAAAUUUAAUUAAAUGAUAUUAUAUUUUUUUAAGGUUUAUAUUAUAAAAUUUAGUGGAUAAAAUUAAUUUUUAUUCAAUUAAUAUGUUUUAAUUAGUAAAUGUUCUGUGAAAAUUAAUAGUAAUUAUAUAUUAAUAAUUUGAAUUUAACAAUUAUUUUUUUAAGUGUUUAACAAAAACAUUUUCUUUUGGGUAAUAAAAGAUAAAGCCUGCCCAAUGAAAUUUUAAUGGCCGCAGUAUUAUGACUGUGCUAAGGUAGCAUAAUAAUUUGUUUUUUAAUUAAAAACUAGUAUGAAAGGUUUUUUGAAAAAAUAUUAAUGAUUUAUAAAUAAUGUUGAAUUUAAGAUUAAAAUUAAAAUUUUUUAAAGAUCUUAUGGGACGAGAAGACCCUGUGGAUCUUAAAUUUUUAUAUAUUUUUCAUAAUAUAGGAUUAAUAAAUAAAUAAGUUUUGAUUGGGACGAUUAAUUUUUUAACAAAUGAUAUUAAGUUUAUUUUGAUCCUUCUAAAGGAUAAAAGAUUAAGUUACCCCAGGGAUAACAGCGUAAUAUUAUUGGAUAGUUCAUAUUGAUAAUAAUGUUUGCGACCUCGAUGUUGAAUUAAAAUUUUUCUAUGAAGCAGAAAUUAUAGAAGUAAGUCUGUUCGACUUAUUAAAUUUUACAUGAUUUGAGUUCAGACCGGCGUGAGCCAGGUCAGUUUCUAUCUAUAAGGUUUAAAAAAGCUAGUAGUACGAAAGGACCUUAACUUAUUUUAAUA
Molecule: ribosomal RNA, 1140 nt
Filed under: Cypridopsis vidua
Lineage: Eukaryota; Metazoa; Arthropoda; Ostracoda; Podocopida; Cyprididae
Description: 16S ribosomal RNA
Rfam family: Archaeal large subunit ribosomal RNA (bases 757-1095)
Source: RNAcentral